Molecule: non-coding RNA, 850 nt
Organism: Nicotiana tabacum (common tobacco)
Lineage: Eukaryota; Viridiplantae; Streptophyta; Magnoliopsida; Solanales; Solanaceae
Source: RefSeq, a predicted model, not a curated record
CAAAUGAGAUCAGAUAUUAGAGAAAAGAAAAAUCAGAUUCUCUCUUACAAAAAACGAAAACGGCGCAUCUGAGUUCCGGUUCUUCUCCAUUUUUUCCUUCUUCUUAUCCAUUCUCACUUUGGCUCUAAUACACACUUCUCCUUAACACACACACACACACACCGCGUUGAAGCCUCUAGCAACAAGUGGGAAUUACAAAGUUUAGAGCUAAAAUUAAAAGAUUGCAAAGCUGAUUUUCAGUUUCAAAUCCUUGUCUUCUCUCACAUUUUUUGGGGAUUUCAGAGCUUGGUGGAGCUUUAGAACUUGUUUUGAAGCUGAGAGAUUGAUAUAAAUUCCAGUCAUUGUUUGAUUCCGCUAAUUUUUACUGUUUCUGGAAUUGCUGAGCUCCAAUUGGGAUGGCAGCUCCUUCCCUUAUGCCCCUCAGAAAAGCAAGAACUACUGCUAAAUCAGAAGGAGUGUAUAGGACUAGAGUCUGGUCUUUUAGCAUUUAACCCUUUUAUGCCAAUGAUUUUGAUGUUCAAAAAGCAAUUACACGAAGGAGGUUUUUCUUAAACAGAUUUUUGAGUGGAAUACGUAGUGAGAUAUAUAUAGAAAGAAAAUUUGUGUAUCUUAAACACAUUUGAAAAAUAUUUGUAAUAUCCGUUGUUCAUAUCUUCUACUGCUUAUUGCUACUCGAAGAGGGUAAAUAAAAAUAUUCUUGUUGGUAUAUUAGGGUAAUUUGAUAUUAGUUGCAAAGACAUUACGUCUUGCAUUCAGAGAUUUCAAAUUACGCUCCAAGCAUGCUUGUUAACAGAGAAAGAGCAGAAUAUAAUUAAUAAGAUAUUGGAUGGUAAAUCUCUAAUUUUUGAAA